UGUAGUCAUAUGCUUGUCUCAAAGAUUAAGCCAUGCAUGUCUAAGUAUAAGCAAUUAUACAGCGAAACUGCGAAUGGCUCAUUAUAUAAGUUAUCGUUUAUUUGAUAGUACCUUACUACUUGGAUAACCGUGGUAAUUCUAGAGCUAAUACAUGCUAAAAAUCCCGACUUCGGAAGGGAUGUAUUUAUUAGAUUAAAAACCAAUGCCCUUCGGGGCUCCUUGGUGAUUCAUGAUAACUUCUCGAAUCGCAUGGCCUUGUGCCGGCGAUGGUUCAUUCAAAUUUCUUCCCUAUCAACUUUCGAUGUUUGGGUAUUGGCCAAACAUGGUUGCAACGGGUAACGGAGGGUUAGGGCUCGACCCCGGAGAAGGAGCCUGAGAAACGGCUACUACAUCCAAGGAAGGCAGCAGGCGCGCAAAUUACCCAAUCCCGACACGGGGAGGUAGUGACAAUAAAUACUGAUACAGGGCUCUUUUGGGUCUUGUAAUUGGAAUGAGUACAAUUUAAAUCCCUUAACGAGGAACAAUUGGAGGGCAAGUCUGGUAAUCG
This 547-nucleotide ribosomal RNA is filed under the name uncultured eukaryote. RNAcentral describes it as "SSU rRNA". It matches the Rfam family "Eukaryotic small subunit ribosomal RNA", at positions 21 to 570 of the family's 1831-position model. The record is from RNAcentral.